Molecule: long non-coding RNA, 758 nt
Filed under: Felis catus (domestic cat)
Lineage: Eukaryota; Metazoa; Chordata; Mammalia; Carnivora; Felidae
Description: lncRNA (ENSFCAG00000042557.2)
Source: RNAcentral
AUCUCAGGAGAUCCUGCCUUCAUACCUUUGCUCAUGCUGCCUGGGAGAGCCUCCCUUCCACCUGUUCACAGCCAAGCUCUCUGAGCCUGAGCUCUCUCUGCCAUGAAGUCUUCUUUGUUGAAGACUCUGACUGAAGCCCAGGGAAGUUAUUAUGCAAGACAAUCUCCUUCUGACCAGCUUUCUAGAACUUUGAACAGAGCUGAACACAGAGACUUGAAGAAACUUGGUUGGAGGAAGUGGUUGUCCAGGAAGUCAGAGAUGGAGGCCUGUGCAGGCAGAAGCCAGGCCUGUGCAGGCAGAAGCCAGAUCCAAAAGGGCCUGGUUCAGGUUCUUCUCCAUAACCAGGGUGGCUUCCAUGGCAUCCAAGGCUUUACCCCACUCAUCCUGGGACGCUUCUGCCCAUCCUGGAAGAGGGCACGGCCACCACACUGGUUUUGCAUCUUCAAGUCGGCUCAGGACCCUCCUAAGGCUUCUCCUAAGGCAGCUUGUGGAAGAAGUGGCCCAGCCCUCCAGAGCCACAUGGUCGUGGUAGAAAUAGAAGCCCAGAGAGAGGCUCUAGGACCCCCUGGCAUUGGCACACGCUGGAGUCCUGGAGGAGCACGUGGUCGGAAGCCUUGGCUUUCUCUCCAUCUAAGGCUUGAUUUAGAUCUACAUCUCAGCACUCGGCAGAGCUACUUUCCCUCCACAUAAACGAGCUGACUCUUUGCCUUUAUAGGUUUUGCUGAAAGCAAAAUCUUAAUUGCCUGUCAUUGAAAUGG